RNAcentral lists this ribosomal RNA (253 nucleotides) under uncultured bacterium. Its description in RNAcentral is "partial 16S ribosomal RNA". It matches the Rfam family "Bacterial small subunit ribosomal RNA", at positions 524 to 776 of the family's 1533-position model. The record is from RNAcentral.
UACGUAGGGUGCAAGCGUUGUCCGGAAUUAUUGGGCGUAAAGAGCUCGUAGGCGGUUUGUCGCGUCUGCUGUGAAAACCCGAGGCUCAACCUCGGGCCUGCAGUGGGUACGGGCAGACUAGAGUGCGGUAGGGGAGAUUGGAAUUCCUGGUGUAGCGGUGGAAUGCGCAGAUAUCAGGAGGAACACCCGUAGCGAAGGCGGCACUCUGGGCCGGUACUGACGCUGAGGAGCGAAAGCGUGGGGAGCAAACAGG